UAUUAAAGGCUGGGCGGCAGGACUAACACAUGCAAGUCGAGCGGUAGAGAGAAGCUUGCUUCUCUUGAGAGCGGCGGACGGGUGAGUAAUGCCUAGGAAUCUGCCUGGUAGUGGGGGAUAACGUUCGGAAACGGACGCUAAUACCGCAUACGUCCUACGGGAGAAAGCAGGGGACCUUCGGGCCUUGCGCUAUCAGAUGAGCCUAGGUCGGAUUAGCUAGUUGGUGGGGUAAUGGCUCACCAAGGCGGCGACGGGUAGCCGGCCUGAGAGGGUGGACGGCCACAUUGGGACUGAGGUACGGCCCAGACUCCUACGGGAGGCAGCAGUGGGGAAUAUUGCACAAUGGGCGCAAGCCUGAUGCAGCGACGCCGCGUGGGGGAUGACGGCCUUCGGGUUGUAAACUCCUUUCGCUAGGGACGAAGCUUUUGUGACGGUACCUAGAUAAGAAGCACCGGCUAACUACGUGCCAGCAGCCGCGGUAAUACGUAGGGUGCGAGCGUUGUCCGGAAUUACUGGGCGUAAAGGGCUCGUAGGUGGUUUGUCGCGUCGUCUGUGAAAUUCCGGGGCUUAACUCCGGGCGUGCAGGCGAUACGGGCAUAACUUGAGUACUGUAGGGGUAACUGGAAUUCCUGGUGUAGCGGUGAAAUGCGCAGAUAUCAGGAGGAACACCGAUGGCGAAGGCAGGUUACUGGGCAGUUACUGACGCUGAGGAGCGAAAGCAUGGGUAGCGAACAGGAUUAGAUACCCUGGUAGUCCAUGCCGUAAACGGUGGGCGCUAGGUGUGAGGGUCUUUUCACGACUUUCGUGCCGUAGCUAACGCAUUAAGCGCCCCGCCUGGGGAGUACGGCCGCAAGGCUAAAACUCAAAUGAAUUGACGGAAGGC
Molecule: ribosomal RNA, 883 nt
Filed under: uncultured bacterium
Lineage: Bacteria
Description: bacterial SSU rRNA
Rfam family: Bacterial small subunit ribosomal RNA
Source: RNAcentral